CUUUUUAAAAAAUUAUUAUUAUUAUUAUUAUUAUUAUUAUUAUUAUUAUUACUAUAUUAUUAUUAUUAUUUAAAAUGAAUGACUCUAGGCCAUUUGUUGCAGUGUUGUCAAGUCUUUGGGAUACCAGUCUAAAGGAUGUGAGCUCAAAUAUCAGCAUCAUCAAGCUGUCACUGUUUGACCCUUGAGCCUUCAUCUGAGCAACUCCGUUUUAAAUUGCUUAAGAUAAAAGCUUCUUUCUUUCAUCCAUUCAUCCAUCCAUAUAUCUAUCUUAUCCUACACAGGGUCACAGGGAGCCUGGAGCCUAUCCCAGGGAGCUCAGGGCACAAAGUAGGGGACACCCUGGAUGGGGUGCCAACUCAUCUCAGGGACCUCCCCAUUGCUUCACUCUCUCCACUGGCUUCCUGUAGCUGCACACAUCAAAUUUAAGCCACUGAAGCCUAUCUACCUUAAGGCACCCAUCACACCCGGCUGUGUACCAUGAUCCCUCUCAAGGUAGAAGAAAGACCUGCAUCAAGACUCUUCUCUGUCCUGGCACCCUGGCAGUACAGUAGGAUUUUCAGGCUGAUGGUAUUCUUAGUCAAUGACCUUGUGAGCUAGCAUGAGGAUGUGUUUUUGAUGGAGACUAUAAAGCACAUACCCUGUCCAGAGUGUACCCCGCCUUGUGCCCGAUGCCCUCUGGGAUAGGCUCCAGGUUUCCCCGUGACCCUGAAGGAAGGAUAAGCGGUAUAGAAGAUGGAUGGAUGGAUGGAUGGAUUAUAAAGCACAUUUGAAAGUUACUCUGGAUAAGGUCGUCCGCGAAAUGCUGUACAUAUAAAUGCACACUAACAUCAACCAGAUACUCUGUGAACAUUUCUGGCAA
Molecule: long non-coding RNA, 859 nt
Organism: Ictalurus punctatus (channel catfish)
Lineage: Eukaryota; Metazoa; Chordata; Actinopteri; Siluriformes; Ictaluridae
Source: Ensembl